GCCUACGGGACGCAGCAGUGAGGAAUAUUGGUCAAUGGGCGGAAGCCUGAACCAGCCAAGUCGCGUGAGGGAAGAAGGCCCUGCGGGUCGCAGACCUCUUUGGACGGGGAGCAAGGCCGCCGACGUGUCGGCGGAAGGAGAGUACCCGUAGAACAAGCAUCGGCUAACUCCGUGCCAGCAGCCGCGGUAAUACGGAGGAUGCGAGCGUUAUCCGGAUUUAUUGGGUUUAAAGGGUGCGUAGGCGGGACGGUAAGUCAGCGGUAAAAAUGCGGAGCUCAACUCCGUCGAGCCGUUGAAACUGCCGU
RNAcentral lists this ribosomal RNA (305 nucleotides) under uncultured bacterium. RNAcentral's name for it is "bacterial SSU rRNA". It matches the Rfam family "Bacterial small subunit ribosomal RNA", at positions 337 to 639 of the family's 1533-position model. The record is from RNAcentral.